UACGGGGGGGGCAAGCGUUGUUCGGAAUUACUGGGCGUAAAGGGCUCGUAGGUGGCCAACUAAGUCAGACGUGAAAUCCCUCAGCUUAACUGGGGAACUGCGUCUGAUACUGGAUGGCUUGAGUUCGGUAGGGGAGACUGGAAUUCCUGGUGUAGCGGUGAAAUGCGUAGAGAUCAGGAAGAACACCAGUGGCGAAGGCGCUCUGCUAGGCCGUAACUGACACUGAGGGACGAAAGCUAGGGGAGCGAAUGGG
RNAcentral lists this ribosomal RNA (253 nucleotides) under uncultured bacterium. Its description in RNAcentral is "partial 16S ribosomal RNA". It matches the Rfam family "Bacterial small subunit ribosomal RNA", at positions 524 to 776 of the family's 1533-position model. The record is from RNAcentral.